AUUGAACGCUGGCGGCAUGCUUUACACAUGCAAGUCGAACGGUAACAGGCCUUCGGGUGCUGACGAGUGGCGCACGGGUGCGUAAUGCAUCGGAACGUACCCAGAGGUGGGGGAUAACGCAGCGAAAGCUGUGCUAAUACUGCAUGUGAUCUGAGGAUGAAAGCGGGGGACCGAGCAGCAAUGUUUGGCCUCGCGCCUUUGGAGCGGCCGAUGUCGGAUUAGCUAGUUGGUGGGGUAAAGGCCUACCAAGGCGACGAUCCGUAGCUGGUCUGAGAGGACGACCAGCCACACUGGGACUGAGACACGGCCCAGACUCCUACGGGAGGCAGCAGUGGGGAAUUUUGGACAAUGGGCGCAAGCCUGAUCCAGCAAUGCCGCGUGCGGGAAGAAGGCCUUCGGGUUGUAAACCGCUUUUGGCAGGAACGAAACGGUGUCCGCUAAUACCGGGCGCUAAUGACGGUACCUGCAGAAUAAGCACCGGCUAACUACGUG
This 492-nucleotide ribosomal RNA is filed under the name uncultured bacterium. RNAcentral describes it as "partial 16S ribosomal RNA". It matches the Rfam family "Bacterial small subunit ribosomal RNA", at positions 30 to 507 of the family's 1533-position model. The record is from RNAcentral.